GACGAACGCUGGCGGCGUGCUUAACACGUGCAAGUCGAGCGGUAAGGCCCUUUCGGGGGUACACGAGCGGCGAACGGGUGAGUAACACGUGGGUGACCUGCCUUUAGCUCUGGGAUAAGCCUGGGAAACUGGGUCUAAUACCGGAUAUGACUCCAUAGUGCAUGCUUGUGGGGUGGAAAGCCUUGUGCGGCUAGGGAUGGGCCCGCGGCCUAUCAGCUUGUUGGUGGGGUGAUGGCCUACCAAGGCGACGACGGGUAGCCGGCCUGAGAGGGCGACCGGCCACACUGGGACUGAGACACGGCCCAGACUCCUACGGGAGGCAGCAGUGGGGAAUAUUGCACAAUGGGCGAAAGCCUGAUGCAGCGACGCCGCGUGAGGGAUGACGGCCUUCGGGUUGUAAACCUCUUUCAGCUCCGACGAAGCGGAAGUGACGGUAGGAGCAGAAGAAGCACCGGCCAACUACGUGCCAGCAGCCGCGGUAAUACGUAGGGUGCAAGCGUUGUCCGGAAUUAUUGGGCGUAAAGAGCUCGUAGGCGGUCUGUCGCGUCGGCUGUGAAAUCCCGGGGCUCAACCCCGGGCUUGCAGUCGAUACGGGCAGGCUAGAGUGCGGCAGGGGAGACUGGAAUUCCUGGU
This 633-nucleotide ribosomal RNA is filed under the name uncultured Pseudonocardia sp. RNAcentral describes it as "bacterial SSU rRNA". It matches the Rfam family "Bacterial small subunit ribosomal RNA", at positions 28 to 674 of the family's 1533-position model. The record is from RNAcentral. Lineage: Bacteria; Bacillati; Actinomycetota; Actinomycetes; Pseudonocardiales; Pseudonocardiaceae.